UCAGACUUUGUUUCCUUCCCUAUUUUUAUAAAUAAAAAAAGGCCUUAAGUUGGAGGCCAGAAUAUUUUCAUCUCCUCUUGAUGAAAGUACAAGGGUUCCUCUUUUGAGUUGAGAGGAGGUCACAAUCCUAAAUUCAAAGGGAAGGCAAGGAAAUCCAUGCAAUCGCUUAUUUACGAAAACAUUUUUGAUUUCUCGACCUGUUAUCUUUGCAAUUGUUGCUAUUAGCGUUUGUUUUGGUAUGUGUGUAGUCGUCCUCCACCCGCAGAGAGUUGUUGAGCUUGGGACGAGGUGUCUAUUCAAUAUCUUGUAUUGUCACAUAACUGAUCCAAAAUGUUUACCAUGUAGAAUUCGAGUUCAUUGCACAGGCAUAUCAACGCCACUUUCUUGACAUUGCCAAGUUGAGUACGAGCACAAAUGUAGCUUACGUGGAAGUUCUUGUAGUGUUGCUUCCAUCAACCUCGAGAAUCUAAAUCAGAUAUGAUAGAGAAGAGGAUUAUAGUUCCUGUUUUCAUAACCCAGUGUACCUCUCUACCUUUUGAUAUAUUGUAACUUUAUAGGUCAUUAGUUAUUUUGAAAAGUUAUUUUGGAUGAUAACUAAUUUGUUUUAAAUGAGAUGGCAGUGUUAAUAAUUUGUAGUAGUAAAUAUAAUACUUUGUGAUUUGUGUUUUGCAGAUCAAGA
Molecule: long non-coding RNA, 679 nt
Filed under: Olea europaea (common olive)
Lineage: Eukaryota; Viridiplantae; Streptophyta; Magnoliopsida; Lamiales; Oleaceae
Description: long non-coding RNA (OEUR_LNC014756)
Source: RNAcentral